UACAGAGGGGGCAAGCGUUGUUCGGAAUUACUGGGCGUAAAGGGCGCGUAGGCGGCCUGCUAAGUCGGACGUGAAAUCCCCAGGCUCAACCUGGGAACUGCGUCCGAUACUGGAUGGCUUGAAUCCGGGAGAGGGAUGCAGAAUUCCAGGUGUAGCGGUGAAAUGCGUAGAUAUCUGGAGGAAUACCGGUGGCGAAGGCGGCAUCCUGGACCGGCAUUGACGCUGAGGAGCGAAAGCGUGGGUAGCAAACAGG
Molecule: ribosomal RNA, 253 nt
Filed under: uncultured bacterium
Lineage: Bacteria
Description: partial 16S ribosomal RNA
Rfam family: Bacterial small subunit ribosomal RNA
Source: RNAcentral